UACGGAGGGUGCAAGCGUUGUCCGGAUUUAUUGGGUUUAAAGGGUGCGUAGGCGGUUCUAUAAGUCAGUGGUGAAAUACGGCAGCUUGACUGUCGAGGUGCCAUUGAUACUGUAGGACUAGAGUACUGUUGAGGUAGGCGGAAUGGACGGUGUAGCGGUGAAAUGCUUAGAUAUCGUCCAGAACACCGAUAGCGAAGGCAGCUUACUAAAGAGUAACUGACGCUGAGGCACGAAAGUGUGGGGAUCAAACAGG
Molecule: ribosomal RNA, 253 nt
Filed under: uncultured bacterium
Lineage: Bacteria
Description: partial 16S ribosomal RNA
Rfam family: Bacterial small subunit ribosomal RNA
Source: RNAcentral